CAAAAUAAUUCCCUCCUCCUUAUCCAACGACCUGUUCGACCUCCGAGCUCCCAAUUUUCCUCCUCACCACCAUGACAGUUCCGCCGUAUCAGGACUCGAACGCCGUUUGUCUUCUGAAGUCCUCUGUAAUCAAGGUCCUGUUGUCCAGAUUUUGAGCAUCUUCUUUUGGAAGUGAUUAAUAGCUACUGUGACAGGUUAGUUUUAUA
Long non-coding RNA from Pyrus x bretschneideri (Chinese white pear), 206 nucleotides. RefSeq lists it as uncharacterized. The record is from RefSeq and is a predicted model, not a curated record. NCBI's taxonomy places the organism in Eukaryota, Viridiplantae, Streptophyta, Magnoliopsida, Rosales, Rosaceae. The transcript has 3 exons.